GCCAGCAUUUUCAUAUGUCUAUCAUCAUGUCCUCUCAGUUCCUUGAUUUCUUUGCUCUGCUCUGUCUCAACUAUCAAGUCUUAUGAAUAUUUUUUUCUCCCUUCCAAUGGGUCAUUUUGGAAAGGAGAAAAAAAUAUUCAUAAGACUUGAUAGUUGAGACAGAGCAGAGCAAAGAAAUCAAGGAACUGAGAGGACAUGAUGAUAGACAUAUGAAAAUGCUGGC
This 223-nucleotide microRNA precursor is filed under the name Marmota monax (woodchuck). Lineage: Eukaryota; Metazoa; Chordata; Mammalia; Rodentia; Sciuridae. The record is from RNAcentral.